This 256-nucleotide ribosomal RNA is filed under the name uncultured bacterium. Its description in RNAcentral is "partial 16S ribosomal RNA". It matches the Rfam family "Bacterial small subunit ribosomal RNA", at positions 521 to 776 of the family's 1533-position model. The record is from RNAcentral.
UAAAACGUAGGAGGCGAGCGUUAUCCGGAUUUACUGGGCGUAAAGCGCGUGCAGGCGGAUUGGAGAGUUGGAUGUGAAAGCUCCCGGCUUAACUGGGAGAGGUCGUUCAAUACUUCCAGUCUUGAGUGCAGUAGAGGGAAGUGGAAUUCCGGGUGUAGUGGUGAAAUGCGUAGAUAUCCGGAGGAACACCAGUGGCGAAAGCGGCUUCCUGGACUGUAACUGACGCUCAGACGCGAAAGCUAGGGUAGCAAACGGG